This 408-nucleotide ribosomal RNA is filed under the name uncultured rumen bacterium. Its description in RNAcentral is "bacterial SSU rRNA". It matches the Rfam family "Bacterial small subunit ribosomal RNA", at positions 354 to 776 of the family's 1533-position model. The record is from RNAcentral.
GUGGGGGAUAUUGCACAAUGGGGGAAACCCUGAUGCAGCAACGCCGCGUGAGGGAUGAAGGUUUUCGGAUUGUAAACCUCUGUCCUUAGUGAAGAAACAAAUGACGGUAACUAAGGAGGAAGCUCCGGCUAACUACGUGCCAGCAGCCGCGGUAAUACGUAGGGAGCGAGCGUUGUCCGGAUUUAUUGGGUGUAAAGGGUGCGUAGGCGGCUAUGUAAGUCAGACGUGUAAUGCAGGGGCUUAACCUCUGAACUGCGUUUGAAACUGUGUAGCUUGAGUGGAGUAGAGGCAGAUGGAAUUUCCAGUGUAGCGGUGAAAUGCGUAGAUAUUGGAAGGAACACCAGUGGCGAAGGCGAUCUGCUGGGCUCUAACUGACGCUGAGGCACGAAAGCAUGGGGAGCAAACAGG